AUUGAACGCUGGCGGCAUGCCUUACACAUGCAAGUCGAACGGCAGCACGGGAGCAAUCCUGGUGGCGAGUGGCGAACGGGCGAGUAAAGUAUCGGAACGUGCCCAGUCGUGGGGGAUAACGUAGCGAAAGUUACGCUAAUACCGCAUACGAUCUAUGGAUGAAAGCGGGGGAUCGCAAGACCCCGCGCGAUUGGAGCGGCCGAUAUCAGAUUAGGUAGUUGGUGGGGUAAAGGCUCACCAAGCCGACGAUCUGUAGCUGGUCUGAGAGGACGACCAGCCACACUGGGACUGAGACACGGCCCAGACUCCUACGGGAGGCAGCAGUGGGGAAUUUUGGACAAUGGGCGAAGGCCUGAUCCAGCCAUGCCGCGUGCAGGAUGAAGGCCUCCGGGUUGUAAACUGCUUUUGUACGGAACGAAAAGGUUUGGCCUAAUAAGCUGAGCUCAUGACGGUACCGUAAGAAUAAGCACCGGCUAACUACGUGCCAGCCGCCGCGGUAA
This 500-nucleotide ribosomal RNA is filed under the name uncultured bacterium. RNAcentral describes it as "partial 16S ribosomal RNA". It matches the Rfam family "Bacterial small subunit ribosomal RNA", at positions 29 to 523 of the family's 1533-position model. The record is from RNAcentral.